CAGUAGCCGCGGGAAUACGCAGGGGGCUAGCGUUGCUCGGAAUUACUGGGCGUAAAGGGAGCGUAGGCGGGUCGUUUAGUCAGAGGUGAAAUCCCGGGGCUCAACCUCGGAACUGCCUUUGAUACUGGCGACCUUGAGUAUGGGAGAGGUAAGCGGAACUCCGAGUGUAGAGGUGAAAUUCGUAGAUAUUCGGAAGAACACCAGUGGCGAAGGCGGCUUACUGGCUCAUUACUGACGCUGAGGCUCGAAAGCGUGGGGAGCAAACAGGAUUAGAUACCCCGGUAGUCCCUGUCUCUUAUAC
This 301-nucleotide ribosomal RNA is filed under the name uncultured bacterium. RNAcentral's name for it is "partial 16S ribosomal RNA". It matches the Rfam family "Bacterial small subunit ribosomal RNA", at positions 509 to 807 of the family's 1533-position model. The record is from RNAcentral.